UGGCUCAGGAUGAACGCUGGCGGCGUGCUUAACACAUGCAAGUCGAGCGAUGAAGUUUCCUUCGGGAAACGGAUUAGCGGCGGACGGGUGAGUAACACGUGGGUAACCUGCCUCAUAGAGUGGAAUAGCCUUCCGAAAGGAAGAUUAAUACCGCAUAAUGUUGAAAGAUGGCAUCAUCAUUCAACCAAAGGAGCAAUCCGCUAUGAGAUGGACCCGCGGCGCAUUAGCUAGUUGGUGGGGUAACGGCCUACCAAGGCGACGAUGCGUAGCCGACCUGAGAGGGUGAUCGGCCACAUUGGGACUGAGACACGGCCCAGACUCCUACGGGAGGCAGCAGUGGGGAAUAUUGCACAAUGGGGGAAACCCUGAUGCAGCAACGCCGCGUGAGUGAUGAAGGUUUUCGGAUCGUAAAGCUCUGUCUUUGGGGAAGAUAAUGACGGUACCCAAGGAGGAAGCCACGGCUAACUACGUGCCAGCAGCCGCGGUAAUACGUAGGUGGCGAGCGUUAUCCGGAUUUACUGGGCGUAAAGGGAGCGUAGGCGGAUGAUUAAGUGGGAUGUGAAAUACCCGGGCUCAACUUGGGUGCUGCAUUCCAAACUGGUUAUCUAGAGUGCAGGAGAGGAGAGUGGAAUUCCUAGUGUAGCGGUGAAAUGCGUAGAGAUUAGGAAGAACACCAGUGGCGAAGGCGACUCUCUGGACUGUAACUGACGCUGAGGCUCGAAGCGUGGGGAGCAAACAGGAUUAGAUACCCUGGUAGUCCACGCCGUAAUCGAUGAAUACUAGGUGUGGGGGUUUCAACACCUACGUGCCGCCGCUAACGCAUUAAGUAUUCCGCCUGGGGAGUACGGUCGCAAGAUUAAAACUCAAAGGAAUUGACGGGGACCCGCACAAGUAGCGGAGCAUGUGGUUUAAUUCGAAGCAACGCGAAGAACCUUACCUACACUUGACAUCCCUUGCAUUACUCUUAAUCGAGGAAAUCCCUUCGGGGACAAGGUGACAGGUGGUGCAUGGUUGUCGUCAGCUCGUGUCGUGAGAUGUUGGGUUAAGUCCCGCAACGAGCGCAACCCUUGUCGUUAGUUACUACCAUUAAGUUGAGGACUCUAGCGAGACUGCCUGGGUUAACCAGGAGGAAGGUGGGGAUGACGUCAAAUCAUCAUGCCCCUUAUGUGUAGGGCUACACACGUGCUACAAUGGCUGGUACAGAGAGAUGCAAUACCGCGAGGUGGAGCCAAACUUAAAAACCAGUCUCAGUUCGGAUUGUAGGCUGAAACUCGCCUACAUGAAGCUGGAGUUACUAGUAAUCGCGAAUCAGAAUGUCGCGGUGAAUACGUUCCCGGGUCUUGUACACACCGCCCGUCACACCAUGAGAGUUGGCAAUACCCGAAGUCCGUGAGCUAACCGCAAGGAGGCAGCGGCCGAAGGUAGGGUCAGCGAUUGGGGUGAAGUCGUAACAAGGU
Molecule: ribosomal RNA, 1457 nt
Filed under: uncultured bacterium
Lineage: Bacteria
Description: 16S ribosomal RNA
Rfam family: Bacterial small subunit ribosomal RNA
Source: RNAcentral